ACCAGAGGACCUGAAUUCGAGCCUUAGCACCCCUACAAAAAGCCCAGCAUGGAGUGGUGUUCCUGUAAUCUUAGCGCUGAGAAGGCAGGGACAGAAGAAUCUCCAGAGAGGCUUGACGGUUAGAUUCUCAGCAUCCACACAGCAGCUCACAAUCAUCUAUAACCCCAGUUCCAGAGGAUCCAUUUAACCUCGCUGGUAUGCCUCAGGUCCCCUUGAAAAACUGUCCAAAGAAUACGUGGGAGGCAGAGGCAUGUGGGCCUCUGAGUUCCAAGCCAGCUGGGGAGACUCAGUAAGACCCUGUCUAAAAAAAGAAGGUGGCUGGCUCCUGAGAAAAGACACUCAAGGUUGUUCUUCAGCUGCACUUGCACACAGGGGCACAAGCACACAUUACACACACACACACACACACACACACACACACACACACACACACACGCAAGCGAGGAGGCUAGGGAAAUCGCCUUUGGUAUGGCUUUCUUGUUUGUUUGUUUGUUUGUUUGUUUUUUUCCGAGACAGGGUCUCUCUACAUAUAUAGCCCUCAAUCGAUAGAUCGGACCUUGAAAUCAGUAGUGAUAAGACCUUCAAUCAAGAGAUUCACUUGCCUCUG
This 607-nucleotide long non-coding RNA is filed under the name Rattus norvegicus (Norway rat). Its description in RNAcentral is "long non-coding RNA NONRATT017053". Lineage: Eukaryota; Metazoa; Chordata; Mammalia; Rodentia; Muridae. The record is from RNAcentral.